GAUGAACGCUGGCGGCGUGCCUAAUACAUGCAAGUCGAGCGAACAGACGAGGAGCUUGCUCCUCUGACGUUAGCGGCGGACGGGUGAGUAACACGUGGAUAACCUACCUAUAAGACUGGGAUAACUUCGGGAAACCGGAGCUAAUACCGGAUAAUAUAUUGAACCGCAUGGUUCAAUAGUGAAAGACGGUUUUGCUGUCACUUAUAGAUGGAUCCGCGCCGCAUUAGCCAGUUGGUAAGGUAACGGCUUACCAAGGCAACGAUGGGUAGCCGACCUGAGAGGGUGACCGGCAACAGGGGGACGGCGAUACGGCCCAGAAGCCUAGGGGAGGCAGCAGUGGGGAAUAUUGCACAAUGGGCGGAAGCCUGAUGCAGCAACGCCGCGUGCGGGAUGACGGCCUUCGGGUGGUAAACCGCUUUCGCCUGUGACGAAGCGGGAGUGACGGUAAUGGGUAAAGAAGCACCGGCUAACUACGUG
RNAcentral lists this ribosomal RNA (477 nucleotides) under uncultured bacterium. RNAcentral's name for it is "partial 16S ribosomal RNA". It matches the Rfam family "Bacterial small subunit ribosomal RNA", at positions 28 to 507 of the family's 1533-position model. The record is from RNAcentral.